Molecule: long non-coding RNA, 2225 nt
Organism: Hyla sarda
Lineage: Eukaryota; Metazoa; Chordata; Amphibia; Anura; Hylidae
Exons: 4
Source: RefSeq, a predicted model, not a curated record
UCCAUGGCUGCGCAGGGGCUCUCCACGCUGGUGCUCAUCUGGCGUCACACCAGUGCGGUUCUAAUGAGCGUGCGCAGAUUGCUCUGUCAUGUUGCGAAGACAUUCUCUUUGUAGUAUGUAGUGCAGACCUGUGUCCUCAGAAGACAAAGCAGGGGGAGGGGAGAUGAGGAGCUGUGUAGGAGCUUCUUGCUCUCAUGCAGACCUGCGUCCUCCAGGAGGGGGAGAAGAGGGGGUGUGGCUUAUCUCUGUCAUGCAGUUCUGAAAGAACAGAGAGAAAAAGAAGCCAUGACAUGUUGUCCACAGCCUAAUCCCAACAUCCAACAGUAAGAGAUCCAACAUAGAACUACAGAACUUCCUGGCCCACAAACAGUGCAGAACAGUCUUACCACCUGGAUGACCUGUCUAUUCUGUUGGAGAAGUUCCUGUAUAUAUUCCCUCUGGUUCCUCUUAUGCCCAGCGUUCUGUAGCAAAUCAAGUACGUACUAAAAUCACCUUAUGGUGGAUAACCCCUUUAUCUCUUCAGUAAACAAAUAUGGUUACAUCAGCAACCCUCUCAGAGAAACCUCAGGUGUGGACUUUGUAAUUAUUGCACAACUCUGCUUUGCACUCGUAAGAUGUGCCUUGAGGGUAAUAAAAUAGAGGUAAAAUACUUUAUUACUUUUUAUGUAACUAAGUUUUUUGUAUAUGUUGUAUUCUGUAAGUGUAGUUGUUUUAUAAAUGUGUAUUUCUAAUAAAGUUGUAGUAGCAUAACUAGGUAGGGUGCAGAGAUGAUGUCAGAGCCAGAUGAAGCAGCGGUUGAUGAAAAAUGGUCAGCUUCCCUGCAUCUGUACCAGUUACCUAAAUAAAUUGGCCCAUCGAAAGUGGUGAGUGCCAUCUCUUUAGAUCUACUGUAAGUGUUCUCCUAUGGACAGUGUAUUAGUGAGGAUCUUUACUACUUGUUUAAACUGAGUGCUACCACUGCAGCUCUCCAUGAUGAGUAGACCAGCAUAGCCAUAAGCCCUUUAUGUAGUUGUGGAUCCUAUAGAGGUAGUACCUCCUUUUCCUUCAUGUUUGUGAGAGAACAAAAGUAACUGUACUUUAAAAAAUAUUUGGUAGCUGUAGCACAAGAAAGUGGCAUUGUUUUAUUAGUCCAGCAGGUUCUCAUGAGCUAAAAUAAACCACAACCUCCCCCAGUCAAAGCAUCAUAGAAGAAUUUCAAAGGGGAUCUGACAGCAGGAUCAACUGCACUAUCCUGAAUAUUAAGGGAAAUAAUGCAGGUGAUCCCAAUUUAAACAGCUACCACUUCAGCUGUUUCAGAGAAAUCCUUAGUUUUGCUAAUAUGCCAAUUUUGUUAUUUGCGCAAUGGAUCCCUUCACCCUUCUUGAAUUUUCAUCUGGCUUCAUUCUCAUGUCUGCAUGGCAUGAAAGUCACUUCUUAUUACUAACAGGUGUCUUAUUAUUUUCCCUUCAUACUACAUAACACCUGCAUCCUCAGAGUUAAAUACAGUCUCAAUGAAUGUGAUGCAAGGUGCAUGCAACAGAUGCUGUAUUGUUAAGCAUGAAAGAUGAAGACAAGGGCAGAUUAAACACAAAGAGAUCUGGGUCAUACAAAGCUGCCUUAAUACAUUUGUUAGGUUGGUGUCUGCUGCAAUAUAGGAAUACUAGAAGGAUUGUUUUUAUUUAAUUUAUUUUUUUAUUAACUGCAAAGAGGCAUUGGGAGGGACAAGCUGGUCAAUUGACAACGGCCACCAUCACCAAUGGAGCCCUACCUAUGUGCACACCACUUUAGGAUGUGAAUACAGUUAAAAGGCCUGCCUAGCCAUUUUUUCUCUUAUAGGCUACAGGCUAUUUUAGGAUUGCAGCCUGCAAGAUGCCAGGAACAGACACAAAAAUAUGUCCCCAUGCCAGCGCAGUAAGUGCAAUGACAUCACAGUACUGAACUACUUCCUCUGGGCCACUGACUUUACAGACAGGAAAAUGCCUCAGAGGCCACUUGUUGUGGGAAUUGGGGACAGUCGUUUCUAAAUGCAUAAUACUGUCUUGUUUCCAUGACCAUCCAAACAUAUUAAGCUUUGCUUGUAUUAUUCUUGUAUGCAGUAGCAAACUGUCAAAUAUUCUUGUAGAGUUGGAUUCAAACAUUAGGUAACAACGUCAAUGAUGCUUUGAGCAAUAAAUAAAAAUGUUAAUUUCUUUGACUUGCUACAAUAAAUACUUUCUUAACAAUUUUAGUUUCGUGCUGCAAUAAAU